GGUUUCUCUACCUUCAUUGUUGUUAUUGUUGCCUUUUCUUCAUAACCUUCUUAUGUACUGUAACUGUCCGAUUUCCAAUUUUUGUUUCUCAACUACACAACGAACUGAGAUACGUCUGUUCAAGAUGAAGCACCUUCCAGAGCACUUUUUCCACAUCGCUUAAUUACUUUUCCUUCUUCUCUGAGCGUUUUUCCCAAAAUCUCCAAUUUCGUUUCAUUGCUUUCUCUCUCUCCUUCAAGUUUUUUAUUAGAUCCUCACUGCCCUUCCAAUCCGUCUAUCUCCGAUCUCUUCCUCUCAUCUUCCAUCUCCUGAGGAAGGUUGAAUCUGCUAUUUACAGCUGGUGAUUCAAGGUUGUUGUCGUAACCACAGUGGCAGCAAUUGUAUCCACGACUAGAUGAAUGGAAGCAUGCAGAGGAGAUCUAAACUCCUGCUAUCGUAGACCCCGAUAUGUCUAACGGAGAAGCAAACGAAAUAAGCAAAAAGGGUGGGAUUUCGUUUGGUCGGUGGUGAGGCUCGUGGUUGCUUCCUAUGUGAAGUUUCUUGAAAAUGUGCUUCAUCAUCCUUCCACCAGAUUUUCGAAUUCGCUUCUCCUCAAAACUAAAUUUAAAGGAGGUUAAGCUUGAUAAUAUCUUUACUCCUAUUUUCUUGCGAGUUUCCCAUCUGAUUGUUUCUUUUUUUUUUCUUUCUCCGUUCAACAGAGAGGGAGAAAGAAGACAAGUGCAAAGGAGAAAUUGAAGCUCCAAUGAAUGAUGGGGAGUUGAGGUGAAGUAUUUUUCUUGUAAAUCUCAACAUAGUUGAUCAUGAAAUGCAUCUCUCUCUCUCUGUUUUAUAUUUGAUGGUUAGAGUUUAGCCCAGUGGUGUUCUUUGCUGUUGUGUUUUUUGCGGUCUGCAGCUUUAUGUUAUUGGCUUGCAGCCUGCUGUGUGGAGUUAUUUCCGUUUUAAUCUUCCUUUUGUCGUAGCCAACUGUGUUGUGUGGGCUUCUAGCUGCAGAGCUACUUCGGCUAUACUCCCAUGAGCAGAGCUCAAAAUAUUGACCGACUUGCAUGAAAACGAGGUCACUAUUACUAAAUUUCCAUUUGCACUUGAAUGACAGAAUUCAUUGGCGUCAUUUUUAUUUAAUUUUUCAGUCAUGGAAAGAAGGAUAGUUUACAACAUGAUUAAACCAAAAUAAUUGCUGAAGCUUUGGAUAUGACUUAGGAGAUAAAUGAAGAUGCUAUGAAAAAUAAUAUGUACUUUUUAUUGAAUUUCUUUUUCUAUAAGCAAGAUCCUAGCUUCGUUUUCUUACAAACACUCUUUUACCAUUUUUUUACAGCUCCUAGGAGUGUGGUUAGAAGGCCUCCACUCUUUAUCAACCAACUUAACUCUCAAUAAUUUAUUUCAUAUUUCCCCUCGUGUUAUUAGCAUCCAUGUCAUUGGGUACUCUCAAAAGAAAUAAACCUAUAAAAAUCAAAUCUCUAAUUAUUGUUGACAAGUUCAUGUAGCAUUUCAGUAAUGGAUAUUUGAUUUUGGUGGUUGAUCAUUAAUCUCGGUAGUUUCUUGGCUUUUGGUUCUUUUGUCAGAAUAUACUUUACCACCAGGAUAUAUGAAGUUGAUAUCAGUUUAGUUGGAUUUACUUGACGAAUCUAAAAGACGAAAUCUAGACAUCAAAUUAAAUAUACAAUGCCAACAUAUCCUCAAAUACUAUGUUAGGCUUUUUUUUUUGUUUAUAUGUUUUCUGUUUCAUAAUUAUAUAACACAAAUUUCAAAUAGUAUUAUCUAAAUUAACAUCAUUCUAAUUAAACAAUUAAGUUUAUUUAUUUUUAAUAAAUACAUACUUUAUUUAAUUAAAAUAAAAUAUCUAUAAAAUAGAGUUGUCUCAUAUUACAACUUAAUUUUAGGUUAUAUACUUUUUCCGACGAUAUGAAUUCUUAUAUAAAAUAUAUUUUAUUUACGUUUAUAAUUUUAGGUAUAUGAUGUCUAAAUUUUAAGAUUUUAAACUACUGUUUAAUUCUAUAUAAAACCCGUAUUAGCCGGUUUACUUAUUAAUUUAUCUGAUUGUUUCCAAGAUAUAGGGACCAAUAGUGAGCGAGAGAAAAA
RNAcentral lists this long non-coding RNA (2076 nucleotides) under Linum usitatissimum (flax). RNAcentral's name for it is "long non-coding RNA (LUSI_LNC004197)". The record is from RNAcentral. Lineage: Eukaryota; Viridiplantae; Streptophyta; Magnoliopsida; Malpighiales; Linaceae.